Molecule: ribosomal RNA, 435 nt
Filed under: uncultured bacterium
Lineage: Bacteria
Description: partial 16S ribosomal RNA
Rfam family: Bacterial small subunit ribosomal RNA
Source: RNAcentral
AGCGAACGCUGGCGGCAGGCUUAACACAUGCAAGUCGAGCGGGCAUCUUCGGAUGUCAGCGGCAGACGGGUGAGUAACACGUGGGAACGUACCCUUCGGUUCGGAACAACUCUGGGAAACUGGAGCUAAUACCGGAUACGCCCUUAUGGGGAAAGGCUUACUGCCGAAGGAUCGGCCCGCGUCUGAUUAGCUAGUUGGUGGGGUAACGGCCUACCAAGGCGACGAUCAGUAGCUGGUCUGAGAGGAUGAUCAGCCACACUGGGACUGAGACACGGCCCAGACUCCUACGGGAGGCAGCAGUGGGGAAUAUUGGACAAUGGGCGCAAGCCUGAUCCAGCCAUGCCGCGUGAGUGAUGAAGGCCUUAGGGUUGUAAAGCUCUUUUGUCCGGGACGAUAAUGACGGUACCGGAAGAAUAAGCCCCGGCUAACUUCGUG